RNAcentral lists this long non-coding RNA (3044 nucleotides) under Malus domestica (apple). Its description in RNAcentral is "long non-coding RNA (MDOM_LNC001898)". The record is from RNAcentral. Lineage: Eukaryota; Viridiplantae; Streptophyta; Magnoliopsida; Rosales; Rosaceae.
CAUCCUCUUCUUCUUCGAACAACAGUUGUUCAUCCAUGUUUUGGAUUGGUUUGGACGUUUUUAGGCUUGUUCCAACCUCCAUGCCACUUUCCAAAGUGAUGGCAUCAUGGAUUUCAAAAUUUUCCUUCAAAUUUUCUAUAGUUGAGUUGGAAAGUUCACUUUGCUCUUGAAUUUGUGCCAUGAACUCCAUAAUCUCUCCCAUUUGAUUCUUCAAGUUGUCCACUCUUUUGUCUUGAUCUUGUUGGUCCUGCGCCAAAGAGGUUAGUAAUUGAAAAAUUUGAUCAUUAUUCAUGGACAUACUUGAACUUGACUGGAAUUGUUGUGGGGGAGGUUGUGGUGGUUGCAUAGGCGCGGUGUAGAACUCCUCAUAUGGCUGCCAAUAUGCAUCUUGUUGAGCCUCCUUGGCUUGAUUUUGUGAGCCCUGCACCAAAGAAUUUAAUUCAUUAAGAAUUUGAUUAUAAUCUAUUGACGAACCGGAGUUUGAUUGAGCAUAUUGCAUAGGUCUUGAAUAGAACUCCUCGUAUGGCUGCCAAUAUCCUUCGUGUUGAGCUCGUUGAGAUUCCCACCACAUAGAAGUUGAAUGAUCACUCCAAUCUCUUUGUGGACAUUGAUUGGCUUGAUAUCCUUGCCUAUAAGACGCACCAAAUGUAGGGACACUUUGCAUUGUGGUCCUUUCGGCAAUCUGUGACAAUUGAGAAGUAAGAUUUGCUAAUUGAGCUUGAAUGCUAGCAAAAUCCAUGUCUUACUUCUCUAGUACCUAAAGUCAAAGAAAGAGAACUAAAUCAAAUAUCAAAAGUAACACAAAACAAGGAAAACAAAACUAAGUCAGAAACUAAAACAGAAACAAACUAAACAAAAAGAAAAGAACCAAGGGAUUAGCAAAGUUGCUAAUCCCCGGAAACGGCGCCAAAAUUUGAUGCGAAAAAUUAUGUUGACACACAAAUUAAACCCUCUUUUUGACAAUUGUAGUAUGGAUAAGUAGGGAUCGUUCUAAACCGGGGAUUAGGAGGGAUUGCUAAACGCUUGAAAACUGACUUAAAAACAUAAAAACAAAGUUUAAAACACUAAACUAGUCUAAAAGAAUGCAAAACUAAACUCUAAAACACUAAAACAAAUCAAAAGACUCAAAACAGCACCAAAAACACUCAAAACUGCCUUAAAACACUUUCUGGGCAGUUUUGAGACUCUAAUGCAAACUUGAACGAAUUUUGGUUUCCUAAUGACCUAAAACACUUAAAAACAUAAUCUAAGACAAGUUCUAACUAAUAUGACUCAAAGAAAUAAAGUGGGGUUGAUUUUGGACGAAUUUAAAUUAAAUGGCAGAUUGUAAAGAAAACAGAUUGUAAGACAAAAUUGUGAUGAAUCAAUGGAUGAUGGAAUAGCUAAGGGGUUUCUUCUCCACACAUGAAAUAUAUGCAACGUAAAUCAAUUUCCAGUUAUCAAUUCAAUAAGUUAUGAACCUCGACACUCCAAGUUAAUUAAGUCCGCUUAAAUUAACCUUUCAGAUUUCCCUAGAAUCAUUGAAUUGGAUGAAUAUGCAUCGCAAACAAAUUAUUCCCAACAAGUUCUCUAUAUGAACAGCAUGAUAAAGAUACAAGUUAGAAUCACUACGUUCUUUGGAAAUCAUAAGCAUCGACAAGGCAUUCGUAACUAUGAAAAGCAUGAUACUCUUGNAUGGUUUAAAUUUGAGAGUGGGUGCCUGAAUCAUUAACAACAUGUAAGUAUAAAAUGUAAUGGAAAUUGGAGUAGAUGACUUACUUUUUCUCUUCGUAAAGAACUCAAGGACGAACACCACUUCUUUUAAAGUUUCAGGGACUUUGAAUUUGGCCAGAUUUACUACGAUGGUUGUGAUUUGUCCCGUGUCAUCAAACUCAAAGUCUUUGGGCUUUGUUGUUUCAAAUAUGUCCUCUUUGAUGAAUUCUUGAUAUUCUCCAGCCACUACUUUCUCUUGAAUCAUUCUUCUUGGUGUACAAAGUCCUUUGAACAAUUCUACACAAUCUAAAACUUGCUUUGUUGCACCAAGAAUUGGAAUAUCAUUUUGCACCUUAGGAAGAGCUUCCACAAUGUCUUUUUCACUCUCUUCUUGCUUGGGAAUAAAAACAUCUGCGAGGAAAAGGGACAUUGGGUGGAACAGGGUUAGAAUUAACGAAAAUUGGACCCAACUUACUUGUAUUGGACAGUGGUAGAGCAUGGGGAGGUUGUGGCGAGGGUAGUGGAGCAAGGGUAGGCUGCAGCAAGGGUGGUUCUUCCCUUGCCGUGGCCUUGUCAUCCUCUUCUUCUUCGAACAACAGUUGUUCAUCCAUGUUUUGGAUUGGUUUGGACGUUUUUAGGCUUGUUCCAACCUCCAUGCCACUUUCCAAAGUGAUGGCAUCAUGGAUUUCAAAAUUUUCCUUCAAAUUUUCUAUAGUUGAGUUGGAAAGUUCACUUUGCUCUUGAAUUUGUGCCAUGAACUCCAUAAUCUCUCCCAUUUGAUUCUUCAAGUUGUCCACUCUUUUGUCUUGAUCUUGUUGGUCCUGCGCCAAAGAGGUUAGUAAUUGAAAAAAUUUGAUCAUUAUUCAUGGACAUACUUGAACUUGACUGGAAUUGUUGUGGGGGAGGUUGUGGUGGUUGCAUAGGCGCGGUGUAGAACUCCUCAUAUGGCUGCCAAUAUGCAUCUUGUUGAGCCUCCUUGGCUUGAUUUUGUGAGCCCUGCACCAAAGAAUUUAAUUCAUUAAGAAUUUGAUUAUAAUCUAUUGACGAACCGGAGUUUGAUUGAGCAUAUUGCAUAGGUCUUGAAUAGAACUCCUCGUAUGGCUGCCAAUAUCCUUCGUGUUGAGCUCGUUGAGAUUCCCACCACAUAGAAGUUGAAUGAUCACUCCAAUCUCUUUGUGGACAUUGAUUGGCUUGAUAUCCUUGCCUAUAAGACGCACCAAAUGUAGGGACACUUUGCAUUGUGGUCCUUUCGGCAAUCUGUGACAAUUGAGAAGUAAGAUUUGCUAAUUGAGCUUGAAUGCUAGCAAAAUCCAUGUCUUACUUCUCUAGUACCUAAAGUCAAAGAAAGAGAA